Molecule: ribosomal RNA, 777 nt
Filed under: uncultured Neocallimastigales
Lineage: Eukaryota; Fungi; Neocallimastigomycota; Neocallimastigomycetes; Neocallimastigales
Description: partial large subunit ribosomal RNA
Rfam family: Eukaryotic large subunit ribosomal RNA
Source: RNAcentral
UACGACUACAUAUCAGGCAUAUCAAUAAGCGGAGGAAAAGAAACUAACAAGGAUUCCCCUAGUAACGGCGAGUGAAGCGGGAAGAGCUCAAAUUUGAAAUCUUCAAGGGUUUCCCUUGACGAAUUGUAGUUUAUAGAAGUGUUUUCUGUUAGAGAGGUGGUAAAAGCUCUUUGGAAUAGGACAUCAUAGAGGGUGAGAAUCCCGUAUUUGAUCACUUUCUACUAACGUUGUGAUACACUUUCAACGAGUCGGAUUGUUUGGGAAUGCAGUCCAAAAUGGGUGGUAAAUUUCAUCUAAAGCUAAAUAUUGGCGAGAGACCGAUAGCGAACAAGUACCGUGAGGGAGAGAUGAAAAGAACUUUGAAAAGAGAGUUAAACAGUACGUGAAAUUGUCAAAAGGGAAGCGUUUGACACCAGUGUUGUUUUUCCGAAAAUCAAUCACGAAUGGCGGGAUUCUAAGUUUCAUGACCUUAAAAGCUGUUCUUCCUUUUUCUUGUUAUUUUUAAUGCACUUUUCGGUUAACAAGUCAACAUCAAUUUCUUUUGUUGUAAAAAGGUCAGUAGGAAGGUGGCUUUACUUUCGGAGUAAAGUGUUUAUAGCCUUUUACCUCUGCAAUCGGAGAGAUUGAGGUCUGCAGCGUAGAUCCUUCGGGGUUAGAUACGUUUGUGCUAAGUUAUAGGCUUUUCAUAGACAACUUGUUGACUAUGUUUAGUCUUGUAGCUUACUCGCAUGAUGCUAUUUUACCUACGCUUAGGAUGUUGAACGCGCACAGAGUCUC